This 5003-nucleotide long non-coding RNA is filed under the name Musa acuminata (dwarf banana). Its description in RNAcentral is "long non-coding RNA (MACU_LNC010895)". The record is from RNAcentral. Lineage: Eukaryota; Viridiplantae; Streptophyta; Magnoliopsida; Zingiberales; Musaceae.
ACAUACAAAUAUGACUGACAGCACAAAAGCAAUCCAGAAGAAACAAAUUAUUUGGGACAAUAGCUGGCCUAAAAACUAGAUGUACUUUAUCUCAAAUGUCUCAUCGGUUCAAACUAUGGAUUGCGUUAUCAAUACGUAACGGGCGGUACGUACCAAUUUGAGAGCUUCUCAACAUGUGCAUCACUCGCUACCAAGUGAUACUAAUGUUUUGACUUGGUAUCGAGCAAUACAGGAUUGUAUCGGGUGAUAACGGUUGAAAUCUAAUCGUUACCGACUUGUACCAAAUGAUAAUGAUCGAAAAUUGACCGUUAUCGACCUCUACCAUUCAGUAAUAGUCGGAUUUCAACCAUUACUGAUUAAGGACUAAGAUCACCCUAUUUCAAACGAUCAAUUUGACCAAUGGAGACAAUCUAAAGAGUUUUUAAAUCCUUUUCUCCCCAUUCUUUCAAUUCAUUUCUUCGCUCUCACAAUCUCUUAAACUCUUUUUCACUCAUGUUUCUCUCUUUUAUUCUCAUAUUUUCACUCUUUUAAAAUUAACAAUGCAACAAUUUAUGGAUUACAUCAAAUUUAUGAGACUAAUUUUGAAGGAAUAAGAUAAAGAACUUUUUAAUGAAGAGGUAUGUAUUCUCUUUUUAUUUUUUUAUUGAUUUAUGAGAUGAUUAAGCCUAUUUUAUGUAAUGUAUGACUUAAUGUCUAAUAUGUGAUUUCAUAUAUUUCUGAUGGUAGAAUAAUGUUAAUUAUGAAAUAAUUAAGGUCUUUAAUAUUGUGAUUAAUAUGUUUAAUAUUAAUUUAUUUGAAAUUAGACACUUAAUACAUCAAAUAUUUAUAUUUCAUGUAUAUUAAGGAUUGGAUCAUAUUCUUGUGAUGGUAUAAUAUAUUUAAUUUAAUUUUAAUUAAGUUUUUAAUGUUAUAUUAUUAAUUUUAAUGAUAAUUUAAUCAAAAUUUAAUCGAUAUUGGGUCAAUUUAAUGUCUUUAAUACCUAUUAGGAUGCUGGAUAUAUUUAUAGUAUUGAAAGAGAAAUAAUUAGUGAGUAAUUAACUAUAUUAAUAGUGUGAUUAGUAUAUCUAAUGAUGAUUACAUUAUAAUUUAACCUAUAUUGGAUCAAAAUUAUAUAUUUAGUAAUUUUUUUAUGUGUUUAACAUAUUUAUGAUGGUAAAAUAAAGUUAAUUAGGUUUAAUUAAGUUUUUUAAAGCUAUAAUUAAUGGAUUUAAUGAUGAUUUAAUUAUAAUUUGAUCGAUAUUGGGUCAAUUUAAUAUCUUUCAUAUAUAUUAGGGUGUUAGACAUGUUUAUAAUGAUGAAAAAGGAUUAAUUAUAAAUUAAUUAACCAUAUUAAUAUUAUAAUUAGUGUAUCUUAUUAUGGUGAUAUCCAAAAAUUGACUUUUAUUGGGUCAAUUAUAUAUCUUAAUGUGUAUUAGAUUGUUUUACAUGUUUAUAAUAUUGAAAGAUAAAUAAUUAGUAGGUAAUUAACUAUAUUAAUAGUGUGAUUAUUGUAUCUAAUGGUGAUUUCAUCUUAAUUUAACCUACACUAGAUCUAAAUUAUAUAUUUAAUUCUUUUUUUAUGUGUUUAACAUAUUUAUAGUGGUAAAAUAAAGUUAAUUAGAUUUUAAUUAAUUUUUUAAUAAUAUAAUUAAUAAUUUUAAUGAUGAUUUAAUUAAAAUUUGAUCGAUAUUGGGAUAAUUAAAUAUCUUUAAUACUAGUGUUUGAUAUAUUUAUAACGGUGAAAUAGAACUAAUUAGGGUUUAAUUAAUUAUGUUAAUACUAUGAUUAGUGGUUUUAGUGAUGAUUUAAUGAUAUUAAGUUAAUUCUACGUAUUUAAUGUAUCUUGUUAGGGUUGACAUUAUGUAUAAUGUAUAAUUGUAACUUGUUAUUUUAAAUUAUGGGUAAUCGUCAAAUUUAAAUCAAAUAAUACGUAAUGUCAUAAUAAAUCAAAGUAAGAUGCAUUAAAUACGUAGAAUUAAAAAGAGAAUGUUAAAUCAUCAUUAAAAUCGCUAAUCAUAAUACUAACAUAAUUAAUUAAACCCUAAUUAAUUCUUUUUCACUAUUAUAAACAUGUCAAAUACCCUAAUAAGUAUUAAAGAUAUUUAAUUAACCGAUAAAAUUUUGAUUAAAUCAUCAUUAAAACUACUCAUUACAAUAUUAAAAAAAACUCAAUUAAAACCUAAUUAACUUUAUUUUACUACAUAAAUAUAUUAAACAUAUAAAAGGAACAUUAAAUAUAUAAUUUUGAUCCAAUAUUGAUCAAAUUACAAUGAGAUCAAUUGGAUACCGUAAUCAUACUAUUAAUAUAGUUAAUUACCAAUUACUUAUUUCUCUUUCAACAUUAUAAACAUGUCAAUCACCCUAAUAAAUAUUAAAGAUAUUGAAUUGACCUAAUAUCGAUCAAAUUUUAAUUAAAUCAUUGUUAAAACCACUAAUCAUAAUAUUAGUAAACUUAAUUCAAACCUAAUUAAGCCUAUUAUACCAUCACAAACCUACGAUCCAAUCCUUAAUAUGCAUAAAAUAUAAAUAUUUGACAUAUUAAGUAUCUAAUUUCGAAUAAAUCAGUAUCAACAUUACCAAUCACAACAUUAAAAUCCUUAAUUAUACCCUAAUUAACACUAUUAUACCAUCAAAAGCAUAUCAAACAAUAUAUUACACAUUAAGUAAUAUAAAAUAUAAAAUAGAUAAAAUCAUAUCAUAAAUCAAUAAAAAUCUAGAAAGAGAAUACAUAUCUCAAGAUUAAAAAAAUUCUUUCUCUUAAUCCUCCCAAAUUAGUCUUCUAGACUUGAUCCUCAAAUCAUUGUUUUGUUAAGUUUAAGAGAAUGAAAAUUAUAAGAAUAAGAGAGAGAAAUGAGUGAAAAGGAGUAUAAGAGAGUUGAACAAAUUAUUAGAGUGAAAUGAAUUGAAAGAGUAGGGAGAAAAAGGUUUAAAAAUCAUUUAGGUUGACGGUAAAUUGAUAAAUUGAAACUCGAUAUAGGUUAAUAACGAUCGAAACCAAUCGUUAUCGCUUGGUAAAGGUCGAUAAUGAUCAAAAUCGAUAAUUACCAUUUAAUACAAGUCAAUAACGAUCGAAUUUUGAUUAUAAGAGGUCAAAACAUUGGUACCAUCGGGUAACAAAAAAUUGGUACCGCCUGGUAGCAAAAUAUCACUGACAGCACAAUAGCAAACAUCAAGAAACAAAUUACUUGAGAAAACAACUGGACCAACAACUAUAUGUAAAUUGCUUCAAACAAUAAUAAUAUACCCAAAAAAGAAAAUACUUCAUAUACAUAAAUCCAUGAUAUAGCAAAACAAGAAAAUGCUUCAUAUACAAACGGGAUAAAGUUUAUCCUGUGGAAAAGUCAUUAAAAUAAGAAAUCACAACUCCUACCAGAUUUAGCUUCAUAUCAAGUUGCCCCCAAAGAAUUGAUUUCAGCCCAAAUUUAAUCAAAGAUUUCAAUUCGUUACAAAAUGGAGCUUUUAGACAUUCAUUUACCAGACCAACUAUCUCAUUGCCAUAUUUUUUCCACAAAAUUAUUUUUAACAGUAUGAUAAGAUUCCUUUAAAGUACAUAAAAUAAAACAAAGUUGAAGACAACGUGUGAACAUCACAUCAGAAGCUUAAAGUGAUCCAAAUUUCAAAAUAAAUAUAGCUUGUAAAAAAUAGAGAAAGCAUACCAAACACGUAAACAAUUAAAAAUAUGAAAUGAAUAAUAAAAAAAUAAUCAAAUUAACAUAACCUUUAGGUUACAAAAAAAUAUUGUAAUAAUAUAUCCAUCAAAACAAUUAUCAAAAAAAUUAAUAUGACUUAAACAAAUAUAACGAAAGCAUACCAAGAAUACAUUUAAAAUAAUUAAUCUUGAAAAUUAGAGAGACAAAGAGAAAACAAGUUUAGAAAUCCUUGGUAAGGCAUGAAAUUAUUUUUAAACUUUCAAAUGGAAAAAGUAUUAAAAAGAACCAUCGCAAACCAAUAGAUAGAAGGCUCAGAUUCAUCUUUUGUCAAUCACAAGAAGAAGAGACAAUACAUCUUCCAACCUCUUGCUCAAAUCCCAUCGUAAGAGGUAGACAUAGCUGCAGUGGUUGCCAUGCUGGCCAUCCAAACUGCCCCGCCAUCAUCCUCUCGGGAUUGGAAAACAGAGCAUUGAAGAGACAAGACAGAGUAUUUGGGCUUCAUAUUUAAGCAUAAGUAUCUGUGACUUGCCAACACCAUGGAGAUAUAAUCUGAAUCAAUAUCCAACUUGGUGAUUGCUCAAAUUCAUCUUUGACACUUAUUUAUCAUCAUAACCUCUUUAUAAUCCAAAAGCAAGACUUUGAAGAGUGAAGAUGAAAUUAAUGUAGCAAAAUUAAAAAUAAAAACAAAAAAUCAUCAAAACUUUUAAAGGUGGAAAACGAAAGGGAGGAAGAAAAGAAGUACUGCUCUUGAACAUAUUAUUUCCCUCUUGAAAGUAUUAUUUAUAUCCCCACCCCAAAAUAGACUUCAAAUCCCCAAAAUGCUUCAAACUGGAGAUAAUCAGUUUGCAAAGGAUAAAUAUAAGACUCUAAUAGCUUAGCAUUAUGCUUGUGAUGCCAAAAAAAGUGAAAGCAACUUUCCAUGGCAGCUAUCCCAACAUGAAUGAUAGCAAAAUAGCAAACCACAAGAAACAAAUUAUUUGAGAAAACAACUAGUCCAACAACUAGAUAAAGUAUGUCUCGUUGCAUUUAGCAAUAAUGAUAUACCCAAACCUGAAAAUGCUUCAUAUUAAUAAAUCCAUGACAAAAGUGAGCAGAUAACUUUAUCCCAUGGAAAAGUUAUACAAAUAAGAAAUCAUAAAUCCUACCAGCAUCCUCUCAAGUUCCCACCAAAGAAUUGUAGUCACCCAGAAUUUAAUCACAGAUUUCAAAUAAAUACAAAAUGGAGCCUUUAGACUUUCUUUUACCAGACCAACUAUCUCAUUGCUAUAUUUUUUCCUCAAAAUGAUUUUUAACAGCAUGAUAUUAAUCCUUUAAAGUACUUAAAAUGUUAAAAUAAAGAAAUCUUGAAGAUAACAUGUAAACAUUUCAUCAAAN